UACAGAGGUCUCAAGCGUUGUUCGGAUUCAUUGGGCGUAAAGGGUGCGUAGGUGGCGCCGUAAGUCGGGUGUGAAAUUUCGAGGCUUAACCUCGAAACUGCAUUCGAUACUGCGGUGCUUGAGGACUGGAGAGGAGACUGGAAUUCAUGGUGUAGCAGUGAAAUGCGUAGAGAUCAUGAGGAAGACCAGUGGCGAAGGCGGGUCUCUGGACAGUUCCUGACGCUGAGAAGCGAAAGCAUGGGGAGCGAACAGG
This 253-nucleotide ribosomal RNA is filed under the name uncultured bacterium. Its description in RNAcentral is "partial 16S ribosomal RNA". It matches the Rfam family "Bacterial small subunit ribosomal RNA", at positions 524 to 776 of the family's 1533-position model. The record is from RNAcentral.